GGAGUUGUGGCUCAGCGGUAGAGCGCUCCCCUAGCACAUGUGAGGCCCUGGGUUCGAUCCUCAGCACCA
RNAcentral lists this transfer RNA (69 nucleotides) under Marmota monax (woodchuck). RNAcentral describes it as "tRNA.Ala". Lineage: Eukaryota; Metazoa; Chordata; Mammalia; Rodentia; Sciuridae. The record is from RNAcentral.